GGUACUCGCGAAUGCUCUAGAUUAGAGUUUGAUCAUGGCUCAGGCACGAACGCUGGCGGCGUGCCUAAUACAUGCAAGUCGAGCGAACAGAGAAGGAGCUUGCUCCUUCGGCGUUAGCGGCGGACGGGUGAGUAACACGUGGGCAACCUACCUUAUAGUUUGGGAUAACUCCGGGAAACCGGGGCUAAUACCGAAUAAUCUAUUUUACUUCAUGGUGAAAUACUGAAAGACGGUUUCGGCUGUCGCUAUAAGAUGGGCCCGCGGCGCAUUAGCUAGUUGGUGAGGUAACGGCUCACCAAGGCGACGAUGCGUAGCCGACCUGAGAGUGGUGAUCGGCCACACUGGGACUGAGACACGGCCCAGACUCCUACGGGAGGCAGCAGUAGGGAAUCUUCCACAAUGGGCGAAAGCCUGAUGGAGCAAACGCCGCGUGAGUGAAGAAGGUUUUCGGAUCGUAAAACUCUGUUGUAAGGGCAAGAACAAGGUACAAGGUAGUAACUGGGCUUGUACCU
This 512-nucleotide ribosomal RNA is filed under the name uncultured bacterium. Its description in RNAcentral is "bacterial SSU rRNA". It matches the Rfam family "Bacterial small subunit ribosomal RNA", at positions 1 to 480 of the family's 1533-position model. The record is from RNAcentral.